GACGAACGCUGGCGGCGUGCCUAAUACAUGCAAGUCGAGCGGACGGAUGGGAGCUUGCUCCCAGACCGUCCGCGGCGGACGGGAGAGUAACACGAGGGCAACCUGCCUGUAAGACUGGGAUAACUCCGGGAAACCGGGGCUAAUACCGGAUAACUCUUUCACUCACAUGAGGGAAAGCUGAAAGAUGGCAUCUCGCUAUCACUUACAGAUGGGCCCGCGGCGCAUUAGCUAGUUGGUGAGGUAACGGCUCACCAAGGCGACGAUGCGUAGCCGACCUGAGAGGAUGACCGGCCACACUGGGACUGAGGCACGGCCCAGACUCCUACGGGAGGCAGCAGUAGGGAAUCUUGCGCAAUGGACGAAAGUCUGACGGAGCAACGCCGCGUGAGUGAUGAAGGCUUUCGGAUCGUAAACCUCUGUUGUCAGGGAAGAACAAGUACCGGAGUAACCGCCGGGAUCUUGACGGUACCUGAAGAGAAAGCCACGGCUAACUACGUG
Molecule: ribosomal RNA, 498 nt
Filed under: uncultured bacterium
Lineage: Bacteria
Description: partial 16S ribosomal RNA
Rfam family: Bacterial small subunit ribosomal RNA
Source: RNAcentral